GAUGAACGCUGGCGGCGUGCUUAACACAUGCAAGUCGAACGGAGAACCCUUGACGGAGUUUUCGGACAACGGAUAGGAAUUCUUAGUGGCGGACGGGUGAGUAACGCGUGAGGAACCUGCCUUGGAGAGGGGAAUAACACAGAGAAAUUUGUGCUAAUACCGCAUGAUGCAGUUGGGUCGCAUGGCUCUGACUGCCAAAGAUUUUAUCGCUCUGAGAUGGCCUCGCGUCUGAUUAGCUAGUUGGUGGGGCAACGGCCCACCAAGGCGACGAUCAGUAGCCGGACUGAGAGGUUGACCGGCCACAUUGGGACUGAGACACGGCCCAGACUCCUACGGGAGGCAGCAGUGGGGAAUAUUGGGCAAUGGGCGCAAGCCUGACCCAGCAACGCCGCGUGAAGGAAGAAGGCUUUCGGGUUGUAAACUUCUUUUAUUAAGGACGAAGCAAUGACGGUACUUAAUGAAUAAGCUCCGGCUAA
This 476-nucleotide ribosomal RNA is filed under the name uncultured bacterium. Its description in RNAcentral is "bacterial SSU rRNA". It matches the Rfam family "Bacterial small subunit ribosomal RNA", at positions 28 to 500 of the family's 1533-position model. The record is from RNAcentral.